GGGAUCAUAGUCUAGCUUGGCAUGACGCCAGCCUCGGGCGCUGGAGGUCGCCGGUUCAAGUCCGGCUGAUCCCA
This 74-nucleotide transfer RNA is filed under the name Thermoproteota archaeon. RNAcentral describes it as "tRNA-Pro". It matches the Rfam family "tRNA". Rfam says of the family: Transfer RNA (tRNA) molecules are approximately 80 nucleotides in length. Their secondary structure includes four short double-helical elements and three loops (D, anti-codon, and T loops). Lineage: Archaea; Thermoproteati; Thermoproteota. The record is from RNAcentral.